Molecule: ribosomal RNA, 162 nt
Filed under: Ixodes scapularis (black-legged tick)
Lineage: Eukaryota; Metazoa; Arthropoda; Arachnida; Ixodida; Ixodidae
Description: eukaryotic small subunit ribosomal RNA
Rfam family: Eukaryotic small subunit ribosomal RNA
Source: RNAcentral
GGUGUCUGGUUGGUUGGUGGAACGAUUUGUGUAGUUAAUUUCGAUAACAAACGAGACUCUAGCUAAUAAAUUGGUGUGUGGUGCUCUGCACCUUCCACAUUUCUUAGAGGGACAAGCGGCUCCUAACCGCACGAAACAAAGCAAUAACAGGUCUGUGAUACC